ACAUGACAAAGAACAGCCACACCUACAGUAUACCCAUACUGCUGUGCUCCUUUCAACACCUCAUUCUCCUGUUGUUCAGUGUGUUUUCUUGCUAGAGGGCCGUGUCAGUAGCACAGAAUAUACAUUUGCUGAACAUUGCCCCUAUGUGAUGAAGAAAUUGAUGAAGAAAGUUUCCUCUCCCUUAAGGAGAAAGACUUCAUCAACUUGAUUCCAAAAAUAGGACCACGGUCUGCAUUUACAGAAAAACACAAAGCAUUUCUCAAGAGUGAACCCUCAACAAGUAAAAUACGCCCUCUUCAAGUGAAUAUUACAGGCAAAAGGAAAUCUGAUGAGGCCCAUGCAAACAAACAAACAAAGAAACAACAACGUGUUGCUGCGUCCAGAAUAACUGAAACAUUUGGUAGGUGGAUGAUGGUGUUUAUAUGGACCACAAUCAUUUUAAGAAACACUCUUUUAAUUGGAAACCAUUUAACAUGAUGUAUUGUAGACAUUCCUAAUUGAGAAUCGUAAAUAUGUACAUGACUGUUCUCUGUUCUGUUUGCAUGUUGCACAGUAGUGUCACGUCCUGACCAGUAUAGGGGUUAUUUGUUAUUGUAGUUUGGUCAGGACGUGGCAGGGGGUGUUUGUUUUAUGUGGUUCAGGGUGUGUUUUGUGUAUGUGUUUAGGUAGAGGGGUAUUUGAUUUAUUAGUCCGGGGUUUGUUAGUCAUUGUUCUAUGUUAGUGUAAUUCUAUGUUCUUUCUAGUCGUUUUAGAUCUAUGUUUAGUUAAUUGGGGUUGGACCUUCAAUUGGAGGCAGCUGGUUAUCGUUGCCUCUGAUUGAAGGUCCUAUAAUUAGGAGUUUGUUUGUUUUGGGGAU
RNAcentral lists this long non-coding RNA (856 nucleotides) under Salmo trutta (river trout). RNAcentral's name for it is "lncRNA (ENSSTUG00000000943.1)". Lineage: Eukaryota; Metazoa; Chordata; Actinopteri; Salmoniformes; Salmonidae. The record is from RNAcentral.